Molecule: long non-coding RNA, 200 nt
Filed under: Elaeis guineensis (African oil palm)
Lineage: Eukaryota; Viridiplantae; Streptophyta; Magnoliopsida; Arecales; Arecaceae
Description: long non-coding RNA (EGUI_LNC044127)
Source: RNAcentral
CGGUAGCUCCUUUCAGAUGAUAGUUUUUUUUAUUCAACUCUUUGACCUUCUUUUUCAGGUCACUUAUGCGAGCUCUAAUCUGCACAGCACAAACUGCUAGUAAAGGCUCAUCGAUGGGACCAAAAGAAAUAUAGCCAUCAGGACAAGCUGGCAUAACUGGACAAACAAAUGAAAAACAAUGCGAGUUCAAAAAAGGCACA